CCUACGGGAGGCUGCAGUGAGGAAUAUUGGUCAAUGGACGAGAGUCUGAACCAGCCAAGUAGCGUGAAGGAUGACUGCCCUAUGGGUUGUAAACUUCUUUUAUAAAGGAAUAAAACGAGGCACGUGUGCCUUUUUGCAUGUACUUUAUGAAUAAGGAUCGGCUAACUCCGUGCCAGCAGCCGCGGUAAUACGGAGGAUCCGAGCGUUAUCCGGAUUUAUUGGGUUUAAAGGGAGCGUAGGUGGAUUGUUAAGUCAGUUGUGAAAGUUUGCGGCUCAACCGUAAAAUUGCAGUUGAAACUGGCAGUCUUGAGUACAGUAGAGGUGGGCGGAAUGCGUGGUGUAGCGGUGAAAUGCUUAGAUAUCACGAAGAACUCCGAUUGAGAAGGCAGCAUACCGGCGCUCAACUGACGCUCAUGCACGAAAGUGUGGGUAUCGAACAGGAUUAGAUACCCUAGUAGUC
This 460-nucleotide ribosomal RNA is filed under the name uncultured bacterium. Its description in RNAcentral is "partial 16S ribosomal RNA". It matches the Rfam family "Bacterial small subunit ribosomal RNA", at positions 338 to 795 of the family's 1533-position model. The record is from RNAcentral.